Molecule: non-coding RNA, 65 nt
Organism: Dipodomys ordii (Ord's kangaroo rat)
Lineage: Eukaryota; Metazoa; Chordata; Mammalia; Rodentia; Heteromyidae
Source: Rfam
GGUGGCUCAGCGGUAGAGUGCUUGCUUUGCAAGCAUGAGGCCCUGGGUUCGAUUCCUCAGCACCA